RNAcentral lists this ribosomal RNA (393 nucleotides) under uncultured soil bacterium. Its description in RNAcentral is "bacterial SSU rRNA". It matches the Rfam family "Bacterial small subunit ribosomal RNA", at positions 26 to 444 of the family's 1533-position model. The record is from RNAcentral.
AGAACGAACGCUGGCGGCAUGCCUAAUACAUGCAAGUCGAACGAACUCUUCGGAGUUAGUGGCGCACGGGUGCGUAACGCGUGGGAAUCUGCCCCUUGGGUUCGGAAUAACAGUUGGAAACGACUGCUAAUACCGGAUGAUGACGAAAGUCCAAAGAUUUAUCGCCAAGGGAUGAGCCCGCGUAGGAUUAGCUAGUUGGUGAGGUAAAGGCUCACCAAGGCGAACGAUCCUUAGCUGGUCUGAGAGGAUGAUCAGCCACACUGGGACUGAGACCACGGCCCAGACCUCCUACGGGAGCAGCAGUAGGAUAUUGGACAAUGGGACGAAAGCCUGAUCCAGCAAUGCCGCGUGAGUGAUGGAAGCGUUAGGUUAGUAAGUCUACUUUUACCCGAG